UUGGCGUGCUCGGAGGUUUCGACCAAAAGGCAUGUUUGAUUAUGUUUUCUGGCUAGUCUAAUAGCUGUGUCUAUGCAUAACCUCGGUUGUGUUUAGGCAGAGGUAGAGUGUUGAGGAGAUCCUUGUGGUUGAAUCGCCUCUGCUUCUGUGUGCUAGAGUAUUCUUUAUUGGGUGCUUUGGUACGGACAGCGCGUUUACUUUGAACAAAUUUGAGUGCUCAAAGCAGGCCUUGUGCCUAAAAAUUCUAGCAUGGAAUAAUGAAAUAGGACUUCGGUCCUAUUUUGUUGGUUUAACAGAACCGAAGUAAUGAUAAACAGAGACAGCCGGGGGCAUUUGUAUGGCAGCGCGAGAGGUGAAAUUCGUAGACCGUUGCCAGACAAUCUAAAGCGAAAGCAUCUGCCAAGUAUGUUUUCAUUUACCAGGAGCGAAAGUCAGAGGUUCGAAGACGAUCAGAUACCGUCCUAGUUCUGACCAUAAACGAUGCCAUCUGAUAUUUCGUGGUGUCUCCUUUGGGAGCCCACGAGCAAUCCCCGGAAAACCUCUAAGUCUUUGGGUUCCGGGGAAAGUAUGGUUGCAAUGCUGAAACUUAAAGGAAUUGACGGAAGGGCACCACCAGGAGUGGAGCUUGCGGCUUAAUUUGACUCAACACGGGAAAACUUACCCGGGCCGGACACUAUGAGGAUUGACAGAUAGAUUGCUCUUUCAUGAUUUGGUGGCUAGUGGUGCAUGGCCGUUCUUAGUUCGUGGUAUGAGCUGUCUGGUUAAUUCCGUUAACGAACGAGAUACUAUUCUGCUAAUUAGUCCGUGCGUAUUAUUGUGCGGGUGCUUUAAUCAUCUCGGUGGUUAUUGUCAUCUUCAUGAGCGUGCGUGACUUCUUAGAGAGAUCGGUGGAUAGCCAAACCACAUGAAAAAGUGCAAUAACAGGUCUGUGAUGCCCUUAGAUGUUCGGGGCCGCACGCGUGCUACACUGAUAGUGAGAGAAAGUCUGAUCCCUGUCUUGAAAAAGUUGGGUAAGCUUUUAAUUGCUGUCGUGUCUGGGAUCGGGAUUUGUGACUAUCUCCCGUGAACUAGGAAUUCCUAGUAAGCAGAAUUCAUCAGAUUCUGCUGAAUGCGUCCCUGCCCUUUGUACACACCGCCCGUCGCUACUACCGAUUGAAUGUUUUAGUGAGGACAAUGGAU
Molecule: ribosomal RNA, 1179 nt
Filed under: Udonella sp. 'Isolate Vancouver'
Lineage: Eukaryota; Metazoa; Platyhelminthes; Monogenea; Gyrodactylidea; Udonellidae
Description: bacterial SSU rRNA
Rfam family: Eukaryotic small subunit ribosomal RNA
Source: RNAcentral